CUGGGUUUGAAUUGGUGAUCCUCCUGCCUCAGCCUCCCUAGCCACUGGGAUUACAGGCAUGCUCCAUAGGAACUCUUGCAAGGCUAGCGGGAAUACAAAAAGAUACAGCCACUGUGACAGUUUGAUAGUUUCUUACACCUCCAACAACGCUUGUAUUCCUUUGGUAUUUACCCAAAUGAGUUGAAAACGUGUCUACUCAGGACCCCUCCCAGGGGCACGUGCCCUCCAGUCUCUGCCACUGUGUGCCUGUCACACUUCAGGCAGUCCUGCCCUAACUGCUGGACAAGGCACUGCUGCCCCUGAAGCAGGAGUUUCAGGCCAAUGGUGACAGUGUGUAGCCCUCCCAGGGUGUUCUAGUGUCCAGUGGGUGGGGCAGGGCCACAUCCCUGGAUUCAUUGCCACAUGGCUACCCUAACUGAGCAAUCAAUAUUGAUUGCCACUUGAUUUUUUUUAAAUUUAUAUUUCUUUUUUUAUUUAUUUUUUUAUUAUUAGUUGUUCAAAACAUUACAAAGCUCUUGAAAUAUCAUAUAUAAAUUUAUAUUUCUAUUUAAAAAAAAUUUUUAGUUAUACAUGGGCACAAUAUCUUCAUUUUGUUUAUUUAUUUUUAUGUGGU
Molecule: long non-coding RNA, 613 nt
Filed under: Marmota monax (woodchuck)
Lineage: Eukaryota; Metazoa; Chordata; Mammalia; Rodentia; Sciuridae
Source: RNAcentral